CCUACGGGAGGCAGCAGUGGGGAAUCUUGCACAAUGGAGGAAACUCUGAUGCAGCGAUGCCGCGUGAGUGAAGAAGGCCCUUGGGUUGUAAAGCUCUUUCGUCGGGGAAGAAAAUGACUGUACCCGAAUAAGAAGGUCCGGCUAACUUCGUGCCAGCAGCCGCGGUAAUACGAAGGGACCUAGCGUAGUUCGGAAUUACUGGGCUUAAAGAGUUCGUAGGUGGUUGAAAAAGUUAGUGGUGAAAUCCCAGAGCUUAACUCUGGAACUGCCAUUAAAACUUUUCAGCUAGAGUAUGAUAGAGGAAAGCAGAAUUUCUAGUGUAGAGGUGAAAUUCGUAGAUAUUAGAAAGAAUACCAAUUGCGAAGGCAGCUUUCUGGAUCAUUACUGACACUGAGGAGCGAAAGCAUGGGUAGUGAAGAGGAUU
Molecule: ribosomal RNA, 424 nt
Filed under: uncultured bacterium
Lineage: Bacteria
Description: bacterial SSU rRNA
Rfam family: Bacterial small subunit ribosomal RNA
Source: RNAcentral